RNAcentral lists this long non-coding RNA (1821 nucleotides) under Marmota monax (woodchuck). Lineage: Eukaryota; Metazoa; Chordata; Mammalia; Rodentia; Sciuridae. The record is from RNAcentral.
UUGCCAGCCCAAUCCACUUGGAGUGGCCUUGAUCCGCCACAUAUUGUGACAUUUCCCCACACUUAUACCCUAAAACCAGAUGGACAUAAUAUUAUUCAGAGAAUUCCAGUAUAGCCAGAAGAGCAUAAACCUCAGAAUUCAGGCUUAGGUUUAUCUUUUCUCAGGAAUGUUUGAUAGAAUUCUUUUCCUUUUUCAUGUUUUUUCCCCCACCUGUUUUCUCAUUAGGAUUCCAUUCCUGGAAUCCUAAUGCAUAGAGCACUGUAGUAGUAAAUGAAUAAUUUUUAUGUUUCCUAUGAUACCUGUAUCACUCCAUUCUGUGUUAAAUUUCUUGUUAUAUUUGGAUGAUCUAUCCAUUUAGAAUGUGAGCUAUAUUUUAACUUUUUAUGUAACCUCGCUGCUUUUACCUUUAGCAAGGAUUUCAUAGUGAUUAUUAAACUGAGUGAGAUUGAGGCAACAGAUCAUACUAAUCCCAUCUACAAUCAGUAAUCUACAAGAGGAAUUAUGAUAGAUAAAACAAACAAAAAGCCAUGAAUAUGAAACCUUAGUAGCCUCAAGUGGUCCUCAGAAAAAUCUGACAGGCAGCCUUUCUGGGAUGCAGGGAAUAUAGCAAACCCUGAGAAUUCAGCCCAUUAUUAAUGUUGGCCAGGAACGACACACAGUAUGAAUAAGUAAAUACCAGAAUUCACAAAGCAAGAAUAUUCCUGUCUCUUUUGUAGGCACCUUAAAAUGAAAUUGUCUGACAAAGGGAAAGAAAGCAAUAACUAGAUUUCUUAAGAGGAUUGAGAGAGGGGUUGGUUGCUCUUCACUUAUAGAUUUUUGUUUCUGUGGCUAGCAAAACUGCUCAUCCUUCCCUUAGGUUUUUGACAAGUAUCCCAAAGUAUCUACUGGGGAUCCAUUGAUCUGUAAAUAAUCCAGCUUCUUCAAGAAUUACUGUAUUUGGAAGGCCCCUAAGGAGCACCGUCCUGUUUGAAGUAAAACAAACAAACAAAAAAAAAGAGGUAGAAGGAGGUCAGAGGGAGAGAAUAGUGGAAAUAGGGAGAAGGAAAAGUGUUUGGAUAGGGAGGGAGAUAUCUUGCAGCUAAGUAGCAAAUUGGCCAAUUGGUAAAGGAAGCUUUUCCUCAAAAAUCAAAUGGAAACCCUUGAUAAGUCUGCAUCCAGCCCUGUUGGCUGGCCUUCUGCAGCAGCUGAGUUGGGAGAUGGUGACAAUGCUGUGCAGAUCCUGGGUGGAGGAAAGGCAUUCCCGUGGUGUGUCCCAUGGGACCUUUUGCCUUUAAGCUGGAAGAUUUUCCUGAUGGGGCUGGUAGGGGAGGUGUUGUAGCACACACAGCCUGUUCAUUUGCUUUCUUUGUUCUGUGACAGGUAAGUCACUACUUCACCAAUAAAUUAGAAUACCUAGGAUGUUCUUUCCCUCUUCUUCAUUCUCUUAUUCACACCUGUUCCACAUCCCUAUUCCAUAUAAGUGUACGUAAACCCAUAUUUUCCACCUUACUGUUUAAGAAUCAGAUAUAAUAAUUAUAUAUAUAGUCUAUAACCAGAUUUUCUUUGUCUCUUUAUCUCCAGCUUUUCUUAGACUAAUGGCUACUUUUCCUCAUGAGACUUGGUGGUUUAAAUUUAGGGCCUCCUGAUAAAUCAAAAAUGUUUUCCCAUUCAGGAUAUUUGUGGGGGAAGAUGUGCCACCAGCCUAAAAGAAAUACCAGAGGUCAUUCCAAACAAUUUUUGGGCAGGGAUUCAUUACUGAAAUAAAUUAAAUAACUGACAGUUUCCCACAAUGGCUCAUUUAAAGAGAGCAGAAGGCACCUAAAAGUACAGUUUGCUAAAAAC